RNAcentral lists this long non-coding RNA (657 nucleotides) under Trifolium pratense (red clover). RNAcentral describes it as "long non-coding RNA (TPRA_LNC009828)". Lineage: Eukaryota; Viridiplantae; Streptophyta; Magnoliopsida; Fabales; Fabaceae. The record is from RNAcentral.
GUUAUCAUUAUUAACAUUUAUAAUGUAUCAUGUUCACUAACUAAUCCCUAUUUGUACUACUACUAGGGGUGUGCAUGGUCGGAUAAUUUGACAAACCAAACCAUAUCCAAACCGAAACCAUUUAAUUAGAUUUGGAUUCAUAACCAUAACCAUAUUUUAUUAUAAACCGGUUAUAAAACUGGUUAUAAAUUUGGUUAUGGAUAUAUAACCAGUUAUUUUAACCAAACCAAAUUUAAAAGUGGUCAUUUUUUAAAUUCAAUUUUUAACCGGUUAUUUUUAAAUAUGAUAAAAAAAAUCAGUUAUUUCAUUUUAAAAACUGGUUUUAAGACAAUUUAAAAAAAACUUUUUUUUUUUUUUGAAAAAAAUCUAAAUUUAGUAAAACUUGCGUAAAAAAAAUAGUAAAGAAAUCAGAAUUUUAUACAUAGAAUAAAUUUCUAUAUUUUAUUUUGAUAAUGUAAUUGAAUUUCCUUCAUUUAAUUUUAUUUAUUUUAAUAAAAUCGACCAUAAACCUAAAAAUUGACCGAAAAAUCGAAAAAAUCGGCGGAAAAACCUAAAAUCGGCUGAAAAACCUAAAAUCGACCAAAAGCCCUAAAAUCGACUAUAAACUCUAAAAUCGGCUGAAACCCAAAAAAUUAAUCGAUUUUUGGUUUUUCGGCC